RNAcentral lists this ribosomal RNA (497 nucleotides) under uncultured bacterium. RNAcentral's name for it is "partial 16S ribosomal RNA". It matches the Rfam family "Bacterial small subunit ribosomal RNA", at positions 28 to 507 of the family's 1533-position model. The record is from RNAcentral.
GAUGAACGCUGGCGGCGUGCCUAAUACAUGCAAGUCGAGCGAACAGAUGAGGAUCUUGCUCCUCGGACGUUAGCGGCGCACGUGUGAGUAACACGUGUAUAACCUACCUAUAAUACUGGUAUAACUUCGGGAAACCGGAUCUAAUACCAUAGGAUAUAUUGAACCGCGGUGGUCAAUGGUAAGAUUCGGUUGUUCUGGCACGUAUAGAUGGUUCCCAGCCGCAUUAGCUAGAUGGUAAGGUAAAGGCUUACUAAGGCAACGAUGCGUAGCCGACCUGAGGGGGUGAUAGGCCACACUGGAGGUGAGCCACGGUCAAGAGUACUGAGGGAGGGAGCAGUCGGGAAUCUUAGGCAAUGGGCGAAAGCCUGACGCAGCGAGGGCGAGUGAGUGACGAAGGUCUUGGGAUCGUAAAACUGUGUUAUUAGGGAAGAACAAAUGUGUAAGUAACUAUGCACGUAUUGACGGUACCUAAUAAGAAAGCACCGGCUAACUACGUG